Molecule: long non-coding RNA, 269 nt
Organism: Helianthus annuus (common sunflower)
Lineage: Eukaryota; Viridiplantae; Streptophyta; Magnoliopsida; Asterales; Asteraceae
Exons: 3
Source: RefSeq, a predicted model, not a curated record
AAGGGGAAGAACCCUAGCUUGCUCAAUUAACUACAAAUUCAGUACAAUUGUGGAGGAUUCAUGUUACAAAUCGAAUGCUAAUGUCUAAAUACUCACUAAUCUCAGUGUUUUGAGCAUAAGGAUCGAAAGAAGAAGGAGCUAGUUCCGGAUCACAAACAAAGUCACAAGAUCGAGGUAAAGCACAAGUUUAAUCGCCGUUGCGUCACUCGGAUAUGAACACACCUUGAUCACCCGUGAUACGCUUCCGCCUCUUUUGUAGUAAUUUCAAG